This 245-nucleotide ribosomal RNA is filed under the name uncultured bacterium. Its description in RNAcentral is "partial 16S ribosomal RNA". It matches the Rfam family "Bacterial small subunit ribosomal RNA", at positions 118 to 347 of the family's 1533-position model. The record is from RNAcentral.
UGGGUAACCUGCCUCAAAGAGGGGAAUAGCCUCCCCGAAAAGGGAGAUUAAUACCGCAUAAUAUGUUUAGGUCGCAUGACUUUAACAUCAAAGGAUUUUCUUUUAAGAAAUUCCACUUUGAGAUGGACCCCGCGGCGCAUUAGCUAGUUGGUGAGGUAACGGCUCACCAAGGCAACGAUGCGUAGCCGACCUGAGAGGGUNAUCGGCCACAUUGGAACUGAGACACGGUCCAGACUCCGUAGGAG